Molecule: transfer RNA, 71 nt
Filed under: Danio rerio (zebrafish)
Lineage: Eukaryota; Metazoa; Chordata; Actinopteri; Cypriniformes; Danionidae
Rfam family: tRNA
About the family: Transfer RNA (tRNA) molecules are approximately 80 nucleotides in length. Their secondary structure includes four short double-helical elements and three loops (D, anti-codon, and T loops).
Source: Rfam by way of RNAcentral
GGGGGUAUAGCUCAGUGGGAGAACAUUUGACUGCAGAUCAAGAGAACCCAAGUCAAGUCCGGGUGCCCCCU